GCCUAUGGCCAUACCAGUCUGAAAGUGCCUGAUCUUGUCAGAUCUCAGAAGUUAUGCAGACUUGGGCCUGAUUAGUACUUGUAUGGGAGACCAACUAGAGACCUCAAGUGCUGUAAGCU
This 119-nucleotide ribosomal RNA is filed under the name Pelobates cultripes (western spadefoot toad). The record is from RNAcentral. Lineage: Eukaryota; Metazoa; Chordata; Amphibia; Anura; Pelobatidae.